GAUGAACGCUAGCGGCAGGCUUAACACAUGCAAGUCGAGGGGUAUAGUAGCAAUACUAGAGACCGGCGCACGGGUGCGUAACGCGUAUGCAAUCUACCUUUUGCAGAGGGAUAGCCCAGAGAAAUUUGGAUUAAUACCUCAUAGUAUAAUGAGUUGGCAUCAACUUAUUAUUAAAGUCACAACGGCAAAAGAUGAGCAUGCGUCCCAUUAGUUAGUUGGUAAGGUAACGGCUUACCAAGACUACGAUGGGUAGGGGUCCUGAGAGGGAGAUCCCCCACACUGGUACUGAGACACGGACCAGACUCCUACGGGUGGCUG
RNAcentral lists this ribosomal RNA (318 nucleotides) under uncultured Bacteroidota bacterium. RNAcentral's name for it is "bacterial SSU rRNA". It matches the Rfam family "Bacterial small subunit ribosomal RNA", at positions 28 to 351 of the family's 1533-position model. The record is from RNAcentral. Lineage: Bacteria; Pseudomonadati; Bacteroidota.